Molecule: non-coding RNA, 72 nt
Organism: Dipodomys ordii (Ord's kangaroo rat)
Lineage: Eukaryota; Metazoa; Chordata; Mammalia; Rodentia; Heteromyidae
Source: Rfam
GGGAAGCUGGCUCAGUGGUAGAGCGCUUGCCUUGCAUGCAUAAGUCCCUGGGUUCGAUUCCUAAGCACCACA